GGAAGUUGGUGGGGUUGCGCCACGAGCAGAAGGUCGCGACGGUAUAACGGAGUAUAUAACCCUCGGGUUCUCGUCGAGUACGGUGGCGGAAUUUCGAGAAGUUUCCCAUUUAUCUCCAAUACUCCCUCUCGAUGAAUACUUUACUCGGCCCGAAAAGUUUUCGCGAUUAAAAGUUUGGAUUUCGAGGAUGAUUGUUUCGAUACGCGCUUCAGAGAGUAUUUCUUAACGUCGAUAUGUCGUGAAACGUGAAAUGCUCAAGUUAUUCGUUCAUUGCGUUUCUCAAUUUUGCAUUUUGAUACUUGCCAAUUGGCACAAGGAGAAAUAAUAAUGAGAAUAUGAGAAGUUUAGUUUUCUUCUUCUUUCUCUUGAAGAAGAACAAUUUCUUCAAUUACGAGGCUACCUUCCCAUUUCACGAGUCUCGAGAUAAAACGAAAGAGUGCCAAAAGCAGCUAGGUGAGACGGCGGAUAAAUUUCUUCUGUCCAUUCUAAGAUCCAGAGAUCGUUCGUUUGGUAAAACAAUUUGCUCCGCGGGCAACGCGGGAGUAAUUUCUUGGGCUAAUGGCUCGUAUCACUUUUCAUUUUUAACGGAAUUAAAUUCUAAUGAGAUGAGAAGAGGAAGAGGAAAUAGUUCGACUUUCUAAUAAAAAGGAAUAAACGAGAUAAAAAGUUGGAAAGAAACCAGACAUCUCGCCGGUGCUUGUCCAGGACAAUUAGAAAUUGCGAAGAUAUAAAAAUAAAGCGAAAAGGAAUGAAUCCCGAAUUGCUUGUUGAAUUGAUGUAGAAACACUCGUAUCUUUUCUCACUUCUACAGAAUAAUGAAUCGGUCAGGAAGAGAGAGAACAAGAAAAAGAGAUAAUUAAGCAGAUUUACUUGCGACGGAGAGACACGAUUCUUUCGUGCCUUCAUAAAUUGGCCUCGGUUUCUUAAAGGUUUUAAUUAAUCGAGAAAUCAACUGAACGAAAUUAACUUUGCUUUAAUAAGACAGAGGGGAUUAAGUUAAAUAAAAAUUGCGGCAGAUGAAACGAUAUCGAUCUGUUGUUUUCGCUUUGAAAUAUUUGUUACGGAAAGAAUCGGGAGGAAUUUAAAUGAAACAAGUUUUGAAUUGGUACAUACUUUGCCAAGUUUCUAACGAUAAAAAAGUUUUGAAUUGUGCGAUAUAUUUUCGAUUAUAUCUUUCGCACAAAAUUACUUUCCUUUCGAAGAAAGAAAUAAGAAAUCAUUAUUACGCGCUUAUUACGAUGAUUAUCGCAUUUAUCGACGCUUAUCGCUUCAUUUGAAACCUUGAAAUCCUAAAAAUGAUCGUUCAUUGAAAUUAAUUAUACAGCGUUUUAUUAAUUGCAUUUACGCAACACGCGAUCUACGAAGCAAGCUUACGUGAAAGCAUCGAAAGUUCGCACUUUUCUCCUUCAUCCUUUCAUGAUGAAAUUUCACAGUCGGCGCUGUUCGAGUUUCGCCUUCGAAACGAGCGGGCAAACGCUUACGUAAAAGCCUUUUGUGCAACCAAGUUGAAAAGUCCUCGAGUAGAGAAUUAAUCGGAAAAACGGUAUGCGUCGAUAAGAAUUCUCGAACCGGAGCUGUCCCGAUUGCAGGCGAAGAUUGCUCAUAGAUAUUCAUGAAACUACGUAAUGGUAAUUUAAAAUGUGCCUUACGUCAGCAUUAGCCUAGUGAUGGAACAUUAUCGAAACAAUACCGAACAUUAUUAUAUUGAUCAAAAAAGAAUUUAGCAGUAUUUUAUUUUUUUUUUCUUUCUUUCUUUUUUUCUUUUUCAUUUUCAUGUUUGAUGUUGUGGCGUUUUAAAAUUUUUACUUCUUUUUUUAUUCCUUGUUUUAUUGUUCAUGGAUAUAUGAAUAAAAGAGUUAAGUACGUUUAAUUCAUACGAAGUUUUAGUAUAUUAUUUAGUAUAUUAUUGUGAUUAAUUUCUAUAAAAUUGUAGUUUAUCGCUGUUAAGAAAAAGAAAUAAUUAUUAUUAAGAUAAGAAUCAUUUAUAUUAUAUUUAUAUAUAUUCUUAAAUUGAAAACAAAGUUUUUAUAUCUCUAAAAAAUUUGAAUUUGAAAGAAUUAAUUUUCUAUGAAUUAUGUACAUGUAUAUUUUGAAAUAAAAGUCGUUGUUAGUCACGUAUGAUACAAUACGACAUAUGAUAGAUACAACAACAGAAAUAAUGCAAAUAGAAACAGAAAACAAAAAGCUAUUUGAUCGUUGAUCAUCUUUCAAAAGUUGUUUAUCACGUUUAUCGUCUUUAAUAUAAACAUUAUGUAAUAAUUUAAUGAAAAUAUAAUUACUUUACUUCAGACAAAUUAUAAUAAGUUACAAAUUUUACAAAAAAAUUAUAAAAAUGUAAAAUAUAAUUGUGAUAAUUAUAUAUCACAAUUAAUAUAUAAUAUAAAUUUUAUGAAAAUAAUAGAUCGAUUCAAAAAACUCAUUUAUUUUUAUCGUGAAGAAUAGUAAGAAGAAAUUAAUCGAAUAAAAAACUCAAGCAAAUCUCGAGGAUAAAGUGGAAAGUAUGUGACCUUCAUCGUGACCUCUACAGGACCAGUUUCGUGAUCCAAUCCACCAAAAUAUCUAUCCGCCCACGACGAAGACGAGACCGAAUUAAUACAUGGCCAAAUCAAACAGGCACGAAAUUGGAGAAUGUUGAAAGUUAUAAAUAUAUACUUGCUACUGAAAAUAAUUAAACUUCUCUUCGCAUGGAUAACUCGAGAAAACGAUUCAAACUUCAAAGAGGAAUGCAAUGUUGAUUGUCAUAAUAUUUCUACGGAAUACAUAAUUCAUCGAAGAUGUUGGAACUUUCAAAAUAUUGAUUAUGUUAUUGAUUGCGAGUGAUAAAAUCACUUGAAGAGGGCAUCUGUUCAUUAUUUUUAGGAAUCGUUUAUUAUUUUUAACUCGAGAUACGUAUUUAUGAUCUCGAUAAAAUAUUAAGCAUUAAUAAAAGCAUUUCAUAUUCAAUAUAAGAUAAAAACUAAAAAUUUCUAUUUCUCUAUUUUUACAAGAAAAAUCUACGAUAAGUCAAUAAAAUCCUUAAAUCUA
Apis cerana (Asiatic honeybee) is the source of this 3024-nucleotide long non-coding RNA. RefSeq lists it as uncharacterized. Lineage: Eukaryota; Metazoa; Arthropoda; Insecta; Hymenoptera; Apidae. The record is from RefSeq and is a predicted model, not a curated record.